Long non-coding RNA from Passer montanus (Eurasian tree sparrow), 339 nucleotides. RefSeq lists it as uncharacterized. The record is from RefSeq and is a predicted model, not a curated record. The transcript is spliced from 3 exons. NCBI's taxonomy places the organism in Eukaryota, Metazoa, Chordata, Aves, Passeriformes, Passeridae.
AGGACAAGGAGGCCUGGAUCAAGGACAAGUACGUGGAGAAGAAGUUCCUGAAGAAGCUGCCGGGCGGGGAGGCGCUGGCCGAGGGCGAGCGCAAGCCGCGCCGCUGGUGCGUCAAGAAGUGCCAGAGGCACAGCAGCGGCUGCCGCGCGCCCGCCGCGCGCAGGAAAUACCGCCAGGAGCCCGGCGGGGCCUGCCCCGCCAUGCUGGCCUCAGCAGCCACCCUGGAGAGGAAAUUCCGCCGGGAUUCUCUCUUCUGCCCCGACGAGCUGGACUCCCUCUUCUCCUACUUCGACACCGGCGCCGGCUCCGGCCCUCGCAGUCUGAGCAGUGACAGCGGCC